This 216-nucleotide ribosomal RNA is filed under the name uncultured bacterium. RNAcentral's name for it is "partial 16S ribosomal RNA". It matches the Rfam family "Bacterial small subunit ribosomal RNA", at positions 1285 to 1500 of the family's 1533-position model. The record is from RNAcentral.
AUCCCAGUUCGGAUUGCAGGCUGNAACCCGCCUGUAUGAAGUUGGAAUCGCUAGUAAUCGCGGAUCAGCAUGCCGCGGUGAAUACGUUCCCGGGCCUUGUACACACCGCCCGUCACACCAUGAGAGUCGGGAACACCCGAAGUCCGUAGCCUAACCGCAAGGAGGGCGCGGCCGAAGGCGGGCUCGAUAAUUGGGGUGAAGUCGUAACAAGGUAAC